Parelaphostrongylus tenuis is the source of this 70-nucleotide non-coding RNA. The record is from the annotation of a GenBank genome assembly. NCBI's taxonomy places the organism in Eukaryota, Metazoa, Nematoda, Chromadorea, Rhabditida, Metastrongylidae.
GCGCCGAUAGUGAAAUGGUUAGCAAGCACCCCUGGAAAGGGUAAAACGGGUUCGAAUCCCAUUCGACGUU